Molecule: ribosomal RNA, 465 nt
Filed under: uncultured bacterium
Lineage: Bacteria
Description: partial 16S ribosomal RNA
Rfam family: Bacterial small subunit ribosomal RNA
Source: RNAcentral
GACGAACGCUGGCGGCGUGCUUAACACAUGCAAGUCGUACGGUAAGGCCCUUUCGGGGGUACACGAGUGGCGAACGGGUGAGUAACACGUGAGUAACCUGCCCACAACUUUGGGAUAACGCUAGGAAACUGGUGCUAAUACUGGAUAUGUGCUCCUGCUGCAUGGUGGGGGUUGGAAAGCUCCGGCGGUUGUGGAUGGACUCGCGGCCUAUCAGCUUGUUGGUGGGGUAGUGGCCUACCAAGGCGGCGACGGGUAGCCGGCCUGAGAGGGUGACCGGCCACAUUGGGACUGAGAUACGGCCCAGACUCCUACGGGAGGCAGCAGUGGGGAAUAUUGCACAAUGGGCGCAAGCCUGAUGCAGCAACGCCGCGUGCGGGAUGACAGCCUUCGGGUUGGAAACCGCUUUCAGCAGGGACGAAGCUUUUUGUGACGGUACCUGCAGAAGAAGCACCGGCUAACUACGUG